This 480-nucleotide ribosomal RNA is filed under the name Leptospirillum sp. TzT-JG-7. RNAcentral's name for it is "bacterial SSU rRNA". It matches the Rfam family "Bacterial small subunit ribosomal RNA", at positions 186 to 643 of the family's 1533-position model. Lineage: Bacteria; Pseudomonadati; Nitrospirota; Nitrospiria; Nitrospirales; Nitrospiraceae. The record is from RNAcentral.
CGUGAAGGGGACCGGGGAAAGGGAGGCCUCUGGUACAAGCUUCCGCUCCUGGAUGAGCCCAUGGCCCAUCAGCUAGUUGGUAGGGUAAAGGCCUACCAAGGCGACGACGGGUAGCUGGUCUGAGAGGACAACCAGCCACACUGGCACUGAGACACGGGCCAGACUCCUACGGGAGGCAGCAGUGAGGAAUAUUGCGCAAUGGGGGCAACCCUGACGCAGCAACGCCAGCAGUGUGGGAAGAAGGCUUUCGGGUUGUAAACCACUUUUGCCCGGGACGAAAAGGGGCGUCAGAAUACGGCGACCCGAUGACGGUACCGGGAGAAUAAGCCACGGCUAACUCUGUGCCAGCAGCCGCGGUAAGACAGAGGUGGCAAGCGUUGUUCGGARUUACUGGGCGUAAAGAGUCUGUAGGUGGUUUGUCAASUCUUUGGUGAAAGGCCGUGGCUUAACCAUGGGAAUGCCAAAGAGACUGGCAGACUG